GACGAACGCUGGCGGCGUGCUUAACACAUGCAAGUCGAACGGAAAGGCCCUGCUUUUGUGGGGUGCUCGAGUGGCGAACGGGUGAGUAACACGUGAGUAACCUGCCCUUGACUUUGGGAUAACUUCAGGUAACUGGGGCUAAUACCGGAUAGGAGCUCCUGCUGCAUGGUGGGGGUUGGAAAGUUUCGGCGGUUGGGGAUGGACUCGCGGCUUAUCAGCUUGUUGGUGGGGUAGUGGCUUACCAAGGCUUUGACGGGUAGCCGGCCUGAGAGGGUGACCGGCCACAUUGGGACUGAGAUACGGCCCAGACUCCUACGGGAGGCAGCAGUGGGGAAUAUUGCACAACGGGCGGAAGCCUGAUGCAGCAACGCCGCGUGCGGGAUGACGGCCUUCGGGUUGUAAACCGCUUUCGCCUGUGACGAAGCGUGAGUGACGGUAAUGGGUAAAGAAGCACCGGCUAACUACGUG
RNAcentral lists this ribosomal RNA (468 nucleotides) under uncultured bacterium. RNAcentral describes it as "partial 16S ribosomal RNA". It matches the Rfam family "Bacterial small subunit ribosomal RNA", at positions 28 to 507 of the family's 1533-position model. The record is from RNAcentral.